RNAcentral lists this ribosomal RNA (432 nucleotides) under uncultured bacterium. RNAcentral describes it as "bacterial SSU rRNA". It matches the Rfam family "Bacterial small subunit ribosomal RNA", at positions 29 to 506 of the family's 1533-position model. The record is from RNAcentral.
AUGAACGCUGGCUGUAUGGAUAAGGCAUGCAAGUCGAACGGCCCGCAAGGGCAGUGGCAGACGAGGUAGUAACACGUAGGUACGUACUCCCAAGUCCGGCAUAGCUCGUCGAAAGACGGGGUAAUUCCGGAUGGUCCCGUAAGGGUAAAGAUUUAUCGCUUGGGAAGCGGCCUGCGUAGUAUCAGCUAGUUGGUAAGGUAAUGGCUUACCAAGGCUACGACGCUUAGGGGAGCUGAGAGGCUGACCCCCACCGAUGGGACUGAGACACGGCCCAUACUCCUACGGGAGGCCGCAGUCGAGAAUCUUCCGCAAUGGACGAAAGUCUGACGGAGCGAUACAGCGUGGUGGAUGAAGUGCUUCGGUACGUAAACACCUUUUAUGUGGGACGAAAUUUUUGACGGUACCACAUGAAUAAGGGGCUCCUAACUCUGU